This 196-nucleotide unclassified non-coding RNA is filed under the name uncultured Dothideomycetes. RNAcentral's name for it is "sequence contains ITS1". Lineage: Eukaryota; Fungi; Ascomycota; Dothideomycetes. The record is from RNAcentral.
UGAAUUAGUAGCUUGCUACUGUACUGGGGGAAAUGGGAAAGUCCUGGUUGAAAAGUCAGUGUACUAGUACCUGCACCCCCUAUCAUACCCUUGUCUUUUUGAGUACCUAUGUUUCCUUGGUAGGCAUGCCUGCCAAAUGGACUUUAGAUAAACCUUUUUAUUUAUAAAUCAGCGUCUGAAAAAAAUUUAAUAAUUA